Molecule: RNA transcript, 1270 nt
Organism: Cercocebus atys (sooty mangabey)
Lineage: Eukaryota; Metazoa; Chordata; Mammalia; Primates; Cercopithecidae
Gene name: protein DEK pseudogene
Exons: 1
Source: RefSeq, a predicted model, not a curated record
UCUAUUUUUGAUACUCCAUCAAAACUUGAUUUUUCUUGAACUUUGGAUCUUUUACCCUUGCAUGAUAUGAUAACAUCAUGCAUUGGUCACUUUGAAAAUGAUGGUUCACUGAGAUCUUCUAUAUGUUGAAACAUUUGAUUAUGCAGUAUCAAGCGGGAUCCGCGGUUCACAUCAUGUCCGCCUCGGCCCCUGCUGCGGAGGGAGAGGGAACCCCCACCCAGCCCGCGACCGAGAAAGAACCCGAAAUGCCGGGUCCCAGAGAGGAGAGCGAGAAGCAAGAGGAUGAGGACAACGACGACGACAGGGAGGAGGAAAAAGAAAAGAGUCGCAUCGUGGAAGGCAAGAGGGAGAAGAAAAAAGUAGAGAGGUUGACAAUGCAAGUCCCUUCCUUACAGAGAGAGCCAUUUACAAUUGCACAAGGAAAGGGGCAGAAACUUUGUGAAAUUGAGAGGAUACAUUUUUUUCUAAGUAAGAAGAAAACCGAUGAACUUAGAAAUCUACACAAACUGCUUUACAACAGGCCAGGCACUGUGUCCUCAUUAAACAAGAAUGUGGGUCAGUUCUGUGGCUUUCCAUUUGAAAAAGGAAGUGUUCAAUAUAAAAUGAAGGAAGAAAUGUUGAAAAAAUUUAGAAAUGCCGUGUUACAGAGCAUCUGUGAGGUUCUUGAUUUGGAAAGAUCAGGUGUAAAUAGUGAACUAGUGAAGAGGAUCUUGAAUUUCUUAAUGCAUCCAAAGCCUUCUGGCAAACCAUUGCCAAAAUCUUAAACAACUUCUAGCAAAGACAAUAAAAAGGAACGGAACAGUUCUGGAAUGGCAAGGAAGGCUAAGCUAACCAAAUGUCCUGGAAUUCUGUCAGAUGAAUCUAGUAGUGAUGAAGAUGAAAAGAAAAACAAAGAAGUGUCUUCAGAUGAUGAAGAUAAGAAAAGUGAAGGGGAGCCACCAAAAAAGACAGCCAAAAGAGAAAAACCUAAACAGAAAACUACUUCUAAAAGUAAAAAAUCUGUGAAAAGUGCCAAUGUUAAGAAAGCAGAUAGCAGCACCACCAAGAAGAAUCAAAACAGUUGCAAAAAAGAAAGUAAGUCUGAGGAGAGUUCAGAUGAUGAACCUUUAAUUGAAAAGUUGAAGAAACCCCCUACAGAUGAAGAAUUAAAGGAAACAAUAAAGAAAUUACUGGCCAGUGCUAACUUGGAAGCCAAGUCACAAUGAAACAGGUUUGCAAAAAGGUCUCUGGUAUGAAAAAAUUAUUCAUAUUAAUGGUAACACCUACUUGA